CUACGUGCCAGCAGCCGCGGUAAUACGUAGGUCCCGAGCGUUGUCCGGAUUUAUUGGGCGUAAAGCGAGCGCAGGCGGUUAGAUAAGUCUGAAGUUAAAGGCUGUGGCUUAACCAUAGUACGCUUUGGAAACUGUUUAACUUGAGUGCAAGAGGGGAGAGUGGAAUUCCAUGUGUAGCGGUGAAAUGCGUAGAUAUAUGGAGGAACACCGGUGGCGAAAGCGGCUCUCUGGCUUGUAACUGACGCUGAGGCUCGAAAGCGUGGGGAGCAAACAGGAUUAGAUACCCUGGUAGUCCACGCCGUAAACGAUGAGUGCUAGGUGUUAGACCCUUUCCGGGGUUUAGUGCCGCAGCUAACGCAUUAAGCACUCCGCCUGGGGAGUACGACUGCAAGGUUGAAACUCAAAGGAAUUGACGGGGGCCCGCACAAGCGGAGGAACAUGUGGUUUAAUUCGAUGAUACGCGAGGAACCUUACCCGGGCUUGAAAUGC
Molecule: ribosomal RNA, 489 nt
Filed under: uncultured bacterium
Lineage: Bacteria
Description: bacterial SSU rRNA
Rfam family: Bacterial small subunit ribosomal RNA
Source: RNAcentral